AACUGAAAAUGGCGGGAACAACUCUGUCGUGUGAGGCCGCUUUUCCGAUCGCUGUGCACUGGCAGUCAUCGGAACUCGUGGGACAGAACGACUUUUCUUUUGUGCUUGUAUAUAAACAUUUCUCCAGUGUUGUUGUAAAAAGACUGAUGGCUCAAGGACAGUUUGCGGAGAAAAAACAUUGGGACGGUCGAGUUUUUCAGUGUCGUACGGACCGACUGCUGUGUCGUCGCGCUCCCAUCACAGAUGGAGCUGCGCGGUAUAGAGGAUUUCCCCUGAUCGGAAGCACGUGAGCCUCGGAGUUGAACACCCAAUCGUCGAGGCUUAUGAGGUCGUCGUCGCUGAACAACAGCUGUGCAAGAAACGCUCCUCGCGGAUCCGAAAAAUCUUUCUGCAAUAUCUUCCCUUGGAUAUAAAAGAGACGGAACAGACAUGGCCACCCACGAGGCUGGAUCGCGACGCCCUGGGAGGUGAAUUUCUUCAUCGCCGUCCCGGAGGGUCGAAUGCGUCAAUUGUCUCCAAGCGACAUGUGCCUUCCGGCGUACAGCGAGGGAGGAUUCAGAGGGAGACAGGCGAGGAGACAGAGCGUGGAAAAAGAAAGGGAAGAAGAGCACAAGACCCUCGGGACUAACAACUGGCGAGGCAAGAAGAAUAAUGAUCGCUGGGAUGCUGUAGGUGUCUAUGGAUCACUCUAUGAAUAGCCCGAAGCAUUGGCAAAUCGUGUGUACAUAUAUUUGUGCUGAGACAUACGAGCUUGAUUGGACGCGCUACAACCGAGUAGUGUGUGGAUUAAAUUCUCAUUUGAAAUUUCUCUUCCAUUCGGAUACUCGAAAAAAUAUUUUAAGUGAGUAAACUGGCGAAUAUACACAAAUGUGAUGUUUCAUUUUGCCCCUUUUUUUCGUUGGUUUCGCUCACCAGCAGCGCUACUCCGAAAUAUGUAAAUCCCCGGUUUACCACGGCGAUACUUCACGCGCGCAUAGCCAGUGACGCGAAGUGAGGAGAGUCCAAGCGAACCCCAAGGUGGGGACCAAUAAAAUAAUAACGCACGAAAUUUUCGCUUGCUCGAUCGUCAUUCGCACGCAAUAAUAUUAAAAUGCGAUAUUGAGCGGAAAUGAGGAAGAGAAAAAAAGGGAGACCAACAAAAUGUGCGGGUUUAGAGAGCACAGCUGCACCAGAGUCUUCGGAGCCGUCAGACGACGCACUGAAGCAAAUCCACGUGAUUCGUUCUUCGGAGUUUUUCGGGCUCUUCUCGAUACAGAAUUCAUAAAUGGUAGUUAUACAAGAAAGCAACAGUGGAAUUGGCGCUACCAAAGAGAGAGAGAGAGAGAGAGAGACUCGCUGCUAUUCGGAAAGCGAACAGAUCGGGGAUUAUCGAAACGAGCUGUAACGGAAUUGAGGCUCGGAUGCUUUUUAUUUUUUCACCUUAUUUACAUUCCCUUCUACAACGUCUAUUUCAACCAAACUCACAUCUCUGGCUUGCGGUAUUUUUAUUGUAUGCCAAGGAAUUAUGGAUUUACGAUUUUAUUUAUAGGCUCAUAAAGGAUGUACAGUUUCCAGCGUGAGCCAAACAAUUGACAAAAAAAUAUUAAAUCUGCUAUCGUUAGUAGUAAAAAAAAACUUUAUUUGCGAAAA
This 1629-nucleotide long non-coding RNA is filed under the name Venturia canescens. RNAcentral's name for it is "uncharacterized LOC122409861, transcript variant X1". Lineage: Eukaryota; Metazoa; Arthropoda; Insecta; Hymenoptera; Ichneumonidae. The record is from RNAcentral.